RNAcentral lists this long non-coding RNA (7671 nucleotides) under Physcomitrium patens. RNAcentral's name for it is "long non-coding RNA (PPAT_LNC007474)". The record is from RNAcentral. Lineage: Eukaryota; Viridiplantae; Streptophyta; Bryopsida; Funariales; Funariaceae.
GGGGGAGCUAGUUUUCAAGCUUUUGCAAGGUUACCAGUUCGGUUUUCAUUGGAGGUUUUUGAAGAUCAGGGGAUUGAAGAGGAGCUUGAUGCUUCGGGUCCGGGAAGAAAAGACAGAGAAUUGGGUUUUUCUUCUUCAUAAGGUUUCGGGAAGACUGAGGCAAUCGUUGCUGAAGUCAGUGUUGUAAUGGUGAAUCGGGAUUUUUUUUAAUGAAGUGGGUUUGAUUACUCUUGACUGUUUUGUGAAAUUGAGUUACGUCUGUGAUUGAAGAAUUAAAAGGAUGUCUAUAGGAUUGAGUAUGCAGAGUGCAUGAAAUUUAUUGGGUUAAUCUAACAAGACAAUCAGUGGAUACAAGAUCCUAAGUACAAAGCGGUAUCGGAGAUUAGCAGAUUGGGUUGUUCGGGGUUCUCUGUAACGUCUAGAGACCUACCGGCUGGGGCAAAAAGGACUUCGACAAGCAGUCAAAGGGCAUCCGUAUAGAUUUACGGUGUAUUCUUACAGUCGUUUAUAUUCCAGCAGUCAAAAACUGAUAGACUGCUUGACUAUUGGCGAAUCUCCGUACUACCUUCUACAGCCAGACGCCCGGCGCGUUCUCGAGAAGGAAAGCACGUAAUACGACAUAAGUGGUGAACCCGACGUGAAAGUUUGAGGUAGAAGGUAUUGGAUUUCGGUUGAUUUUAUCUUUAUUUUUAUGGAAAACGAAAAUAAAAAUUUUGAAGGAUUUUUGGGAGAAAUUUCUGGUGGGGAGUCUUCUAAAGGACAAGGUAUGCACAUGGAUCCGUCUAUUGCUAGUUUGUUUCAAGCCUUCUCAUUGUCAAUGCAGCAACAACAAAGCAAUGAUCGAAAGGAAGCUUUGGCAACCAAAGCAUUGCAAGCAGUGGUCAAUAAAAUUGAUCAAUUUGAUGGGAGGAAUAUUUCAAGGUAUUUAAGAUGUUAUGUUCGUGAAAUGGAAUUAAAUCGGGUUUCUGAGAAAAAAAUGGUUGCACUAUUUGGACUUGCCACAAUACCGGAGAUAAGGGACCACAUUACAUUGAUUACGGAUCGUUGUGGGAAUUCAUGGGAGGAUUUUUCACAUGUAUUGAAAGACGAAUAUUUCUUGGAAGAUGCUGAUUGCGUUACUAGAAGCUGUUUCUGGGAUGGAUUGAACGGCCCAAUAAGAAUUUGUAAGCAAGAGAGCUACUAAGGGAAUUUGAGAGGCAGUACUCUCAAUUAUCGAAGGUAGAAAAAUUGACAUUGGAGCCGAACAAAGUUGAUCUAUUUCUUCAAGCUGCUGAUGGAGAAUUGUAAGAGAAAUUAGAACCCCUUCUUGAAGACAAAGAAGAAGAUGAAGGAUUGACAACGAAGUGGAAGAACGUUGAAGAUGCGGUGGGGUUGCUUACAAAAAAAGAAAAGAAGAAGGAUAGGAGUAAUAUUCCGAAAACAGUACAAGCACCCAAAGCUCCAGUACGUACUACACCACCGACAAUGCCUACAGUUCAACCUUCGACAUCCUUGUUAAAGAAAGCAGAUAUGGAUAUGGAAGAAAUUAUACGAGGAAUGCGAGAUCUUCAAAUCAAAUUGGCAAGACUUGAAGAGAAUACUUCUAUAAACAAUUCGAAGAAUGUUUCAAAACAAGGAUAUGUACAAAGAUGCAUUUGGUGUGAUGAUGCUUCACACACUAGAAAAGAUUGCAAUGAAUUUAAUAAUAUGAUACGGCAGGGAAUUAUUUGCUGGAAAGAUGGGAAGAUAGCAUUGAAAGAUAGGGAGGAUCUUCUUCAAACCAAUUUUGGCAAGGGAGGAAUGAGAGCAUUGGUUCAAGAUUACUUAAAAGAGCAUGAAACAAUAGUACGAGAAAGUGCAAGUUAUGGUGCUAGAGUAGAUGAUGCAAUUGGUGGAAGUACGGAAACUAGUGAGUUUUGGGCUUCUGCCAUUUCUACAAUGCAAGAAGGGAAAUUACCUCGAGAAGCGUUAUUGAGAACUGCAGCUACAAUACGAGGAAGAACAGGUUGGGAGGAUCCUGUUGAGUCUCUUUCAGUUCAUGCAUAUAUUGCUAAGAGCCAACAUGAAGCUUUGAUGGAAGAAAAAAGACGAGGAAAUUUUGAUGAUACUAGAGAAGGAAAUUCUUUUAAGAGGCAAACUCGAGGAGACAAGGCUCGGGAGGCAGCUUCACAAGAAUUGCCUGUAAAGGAUACCUCAGCAUCAUUGGGAGAAAAAACAAGGGAGACAAAAGAUAAGGGCAAAUCAAUUGCUUAUAAGCUACUUUCUGACAUUCAAGCGGCAACAAAUUUGAAAGGGGUGUUGGAAGAACGUAUAUUAAACGCUAAGAUGGAAUUCACAUUGAAAGAAGUCUUGGGAAUUGCAAAGAAGGAGUUUCAUGAUGUUAUCAUUGACAGCAUUAAGCGAAAGAGGCAAUUAAUGAGCGAAACUGGAAUGAAUCAUGCUAUUGAUGCAAGAGUAUGUAGAGAUGAAGAAGAGGUUGAUAUUGGUUACAAGCAACCAACAAAUGAAAAGAAUGGGUAUAAUCAGCGAGUACGUUUCGAAGAUUCUAGUGACAAGGGAGUGGAAACUUUGAGCCAUUAUACUCGAAAGCAUUGGGCAAGGGCAACUACUGAGGUAUUGGUGAAGGUAGGAGAUAUAGAAGAACCAAUAGUUGCUUUGGUGGACCAUGGUUCUGAAAUAAAUCUCAUGUCUAAAGAUCUUUAUAAGAAGCAAAAAUGGCCAAUUGAUAUGGAACAUGGAUGGGCAAUACGAGCAGCUAAUAACACACGGGGCGAAUUAUAUGGAGCUUGUCCAGAUGUCAAAAUUCGGAUUGGGGAUGUUGCGACGGAGCAACAUUUCUUUGUUCAAGAUACAACGUCUUAUCCAUUGAUUUUAGAACAACCUUAUAUUUUGGCAAUACGGAUGGAAACAAAAGUACUUGACGAUGGUUCUGCUUAUGCAAGGGUAUGGAGUGAAGAUGGGAGGAAAGCUGUACAAUUUCUAACAAUACCUCCUAACCAUGAACGGAAUCGAGAUAGGUUGAGGGAGAAACCAUUGCCAAAGAUUGUUGAAGGAUUUAAGGAUUAUGGGGAGGUACCACUGUAAAGCGAGAUUAUGGAGGUACAAAAGAGGAGGUACUCUCACGAGAUGAAGGUGCCUUUGAUGUGAGUUUUAUUGGUAUUUUGGAGAAUGGAAAUAUUAUGUAUAAGAAAGUUGAUGAUUUUAAAAGAAAAGAAAGAAAAAGAUUAUAUCAUAUUGAAGGAGAAUUAUGCAAGUUAGGUACAUUGCAAGAUGAUGAGAGGAUUUUAGCUGUUUAUGAAGUAAAUGGAAUGAAAGAUUCAUUGGAAUUGAUUACAUCUAUUGGGUUAGGGGAUAAUGAUAAGAUUGUUGAAAUUCAUUCAAGAGAGGUUUAUACCAUACUUGAAUCUUUUCAAGCACCAGAAGUCAUUGUAGAGACGACAUAUAAAACGACAAAUAAGAAGGUAAAGCCUAUUGCCGGACCAUUACUAGAAGAUUCUAAAGAACAAAUGAGAGAAGCAUCAAAAGAAGCAAGUUUAAGAGAUCCAAUGAGUAUUGGACAUCAGUUUACUGAAGAGACUUUUGAAGAAUUGAAGAUUGGUUCUGAUGGUUCUUUAUUGCCGGAGGAAAUUACUUGCUUCAAAAAGAUGUUGGCUAAACAAGAUAGAUCGUUUGCCUUCGAAUCUCAUGAAAUUGGGUGUGUGGAUCCAAAUAUUAUAACACCUAUGGUUAUCUUCACUGUACCGCAUGUACCUUGGAAUCUAAGACCAAUUCCAGUACCGAGGACUCAUUUACCUAAAUUGGUGGAACUAUUGAAAGAAAAGAUAAAGAUAAAACUUUAGAUUCAGAUAAAGAAUUCAGGUUAUGAUCAAUUUCAACUUGCCGAAGGAAGUAGAGAUAUGACAACGAUGAGAACACCACUUGGAUUGGUUAGAAUGUGCAGUCUUCCUCAAGGCGCGACCAACUCAGUUGCGCAUAUGAUGAAUGGGAUGAAUAAGGUAUUGAGAGAUUUUAUUCCGGAAAAGACUAUGCCUUUUCUGGAUGAUGUUCCUAUAAAAGGGUGCAGAGAAGGAGACAAGGAUGAAACUUUAGAUACGAGGGGAUGUCGCAGAUAUGUUGUUGAUCAUAUACAAGAUUGUGAAAAGAUUUUAACUCGGCUUGGAAAAGUUCAUCUUACAUUAUCGGGUAUAAAGUCCAUAUUUGGAGUGCGAGAGGUUGUAAUUGUUGGACAUUUAUGCGGAUCUUACGGAAGAAAACCAGAUCUGACUAAAGUUGAUGCAAUUAGAAGGAUGAAAGAGGAUUGUGGUUCUUUAACAUAGGUUCGCAGGUUUUUGGGUGCAUGUAUAUUUUAUCGAAUCUGGGUCCCUCAUUUUGCUCACAUAGCGGAUCCAUUAUAUGAACUGUUACGCAAGGGUUACCGAUUUGAAUGGAAAGAAAGGCAUAUUCAGGCAAUGCAAAGAUUGAAGAAAUUAUUGAUGUCACCUCCAAUAUUGAGGAAGGUUGAUUAUAAGUGCAAUAGACCAGUGAUUCUUACUGUAGACGCUAGUCCAAUUGCCGUUGGAUGGGCGGUGGGUCAAGAUGAUUCAAGUGGAAAUAGAUUUGCAGUUUGAUUUGGGGCUAAAGUUUUAAGUAUUCGUCAGCGUGCAUAUUCGCAAGUCAAAAGAGAACUUUGGGGAGUCGUUUCGGCUAUGAAAGCUGAAAACGACUAUUUGAUUAGGGCAGUAGUAGUAAUUGAAACAGAUUGCUUGCCAUUGCUUGGAAUGAUUAUUAACUGUUCAACGCCAGAUAUUGCAAUGUUGAGAUGGAUUGCUUAUAUUAAGUCACUAAAUCCUGAAUUUAAGCAUAUCACUGGAAAGGACAAUUUAGUAGCAGACAUGCUAUCUCGAGCAAGAUACGAGAGGGAGGACGAAAUGGUUGAAGACAUUGAUGACGUCGGAUUCAAAUUCUAUUCAAUAUCAAAUUUCAACAAAGAAGACAAGCUAUUUCUUGAAGAAUCUUAUGAAGGAGAAUUAUUGGAUAUUGGUCAUUACUUGAAUACCUUGACUAAGCAGGGGAAUUGGUCUACAGAAAAAUUCAAACAAAUAAGAAAAAAAAACAUACGGAUUUUUACUUUGAGAUGGAUUCUUAUGGAAGAGACCGAAGAAAGGAAUUGGAAUGCGACGACGAGUGAUAGGCAAAAAGGAAGAAAAACUAAAAUUAUUAAAGGAGUUUCAUGAUAGUUAUCAGUAGUGCAUAGAGGAAUCUAGGCUACUUUUGCUAAACUCAAGGAACGAUAUUGGUGGAAAAAUAUGUACCAAGAUGUGCUUUCAUUUGUAGAGUCAUGUGAAAUCCGUCAAUCGUAUUCUAAUAUCUGACAUCGAGAUGGUCUUCAUCCUACGUAUCCUCUGGCUAUUCAUUUUAAAUGGGUUGUUGAUUUGGUUAUUAUGCCAGUUGGGUUAUGGCAGAUGAGAUAUUUGGUUUUAGCUCGUGAAGAUUUAUCAAAUCAAGUAGAAGGAAGAGCAUUGAGGACAAAAUCUACAUAGGGAAUUUGUAGGUUUUUGCUUGAAGAUGUCAUUUGCUGCUACGGAUGCGUAAGAAAAAUCACUGCAGAUCGUGGAGAAUUAAAUGCAAAAGAAGCUCGUAAGUUCUUUGAAAGAUGUGGAGUUAAACUAUCAUUGACUACUGCUUAUAAUCCGGAAGGGAAUGCAAAAAGCGAACGCGAUCACCCAUCGAUUGUGAAAGCAUUAGUUAAAGCUUGUAAUCGAAAACUUAGAGAGUGGCCACGGCUUUUGUCAUUUGCAUUAUGGGCUGAUCGAACAACACAUAGUUCGGUGACAGGAUAUAUGCCAGUAGAACUUAUGAUAUGUCGAAAACCAAUUAUGUCGAUUGAAGAAAAGGUACUUACUUCGAGUAUGCUACCAUGGGAAGAUGGAUUGAUAAGAGAAGAACUUCUGGCUAUUAGGAUUCGACAAUUGGAGCAAAGAACGGAAGAUGUCCAGAUAGCAUUGGAAAGGAUAAAAAGAGCAAGGUUACAAAACAAGGCGCGAUUCGAUAAGCAACAUCGAUUGAGACCAAAAGCAAUCGAGGAAGGUGACUGGGUACUUGUUUAUGACAAUAAUCUGGAUAAUCAACAUAGUACCUUGCGGAAAUUUUCAAAACGUUGGUUUGGACCAUAUGUUGUAAUAACUGUUCAUGAUAAUGCAACUUACUCAUUACGGGAGUUAGAUGGUACAAAAUUGAAAAUACCAAUUGCAGGGAAGCGAGUAAAAAUAUUUAAACAAAGACACGCAGAGAUAAACAUGGAAGACCUUAAUGAAGGUAUAGAGAUUCCGCAGCAAGAAGAUGAAAGUGAUAUGGAUAAUGAAGAUGACGAAGACGAACUGGACAAAGACGUAGGGAAUAUAUUCUGAAUCAAACAGCAAUUGGGUAAAUUGGUGCAUACCGGAGGAUGCACAGGUUCAGAAGGGGUGAAUGUCGUGUUGUAACACGAGUAUACAGUGAAAAUAAAAAGAAAGGAGAAUUUUAUUAAUAUUCAAUUACCUCGAAUAUUGGGAGCAUCGAUCAACUCCAGUACAAAUACUGAGUGGUCAGGUUCAGUCACUCCGUUACAGUCAGCCGGGGCAUACUGAAAUGCUCCAUUCGAUUCCAAUAACGGGAGUCAGCAGGAAGAGAAGGACCAAUUCACACGACGGGUUUGAGGAGCCAAUUGGAUCCAAUUUCGAUAAUCCAAUCCGGGUCCUCUUAUCCAAUAUGAGACCUGAAUUGGCCGGUCAACCCAAUGCAGUCUAAUUACGGGAAAUCCAAGUCUUACUUCGGGUCUUAGCCAAUCUGAUGCAAGGACCAAUUUGACCCAAUUACGGGAACAUCCAGGUUACUACGGGCAUCUUUCCCAAUAUAGGACCUGAAUUGGUCGGGCGACUCAAUGUGGUCCCGAUUACGGGGUUCGAUUCUGUUUCAGGCUGUCUUGUUCUCUGUGCCGUUUCAGGAAACGUUGUUUUCGGUAAAUGGAUUUCUUAAAGGUAAAAACGGAGGAGAAAGCAUGACGACGAGAGCUAAUUUCGGAUCCAAGCUUGAGGUGGGAGCCAAUUCCGAAUCUAAGAUGGAAGAUUGAAGAAAUUCAGAGGUUUUUGAAGAACAGGGGAAUCGAGGGGGGGAGCUAGUUUUCAAGCUUUUGCAAGGUUACCAGUUCGGUUUUCAUUGGAGGCUUUUGAAGAACAGGGGAAUCGAGGAGGGGAGCUAGUUUUCAAGCUUUUGCAAGGUUACCAGUUCGGUUUUCAUUGGAGGUUUUUGAAGAUCAGGGGAUUGAAGAGGAGCUUGAUGCUUCGGGUCCGGGAAGAAAAGAAAGAGAAUUGGGUUUUUCUUCUUCAUAAGGUUUCGGGAAGACUGAGGCAAUCGUUGUUGAAGUCAGUGUUGUAAUGGUGAAUCGGGAUUUUUUUUAAUGAAGUGGGUUUGAUUACUCUUGACUGUUUUGUGAAAUCGAGUUACGUCUGUGAUUGAAGAAUUAAAAGGAUAUCUAUAGGAUUGAGUAUGCGGAGUGCAUGAAAUUUAUUGAGUUAAUCUAACAAGACAAUCAGUGGAUACAAGAUCCUAAGUACAAAGCGGUAUCGGAGAUUAGCAGAUUGAGUUGUUCGGGGUUCUCUGUAACAUCUAGAGACCUACCGACUGGGGCAAAAAGGACUUCAACAAGCAGUCAAAGGGCAUCCGUAUAGAUUUACG